UCUCAAAGAUUAAGCCAUGCAUGUGUAAGUGUAAAUGUACUAGUUUGGAACUGCGAAUGGCUCAUUAUAUCAGUUAUAGUUUAUUUGGUGAAGUGUACUACUUGGAUAACCGUAGUAAUUCUAGGGCUAAUACAUGAGAAAGUCCUCUGGUGAGGUGUGUUUAUUAGAAUGAAAACCAUAUGCUUCGGCAUGAUAGUGAGUAAUAGUAACCUAUCGUAUCGCAUGCUUAAUGUAGCGAUGAGUCUUUCAAGUUUCUGCCCUAUCAGCUUUCGAUGGUAGUAUAUGGGCCUACCAUGGCAGU
RNAcentral lists this ribosomal RNA (301 nucleotides) under Blastocystis sp. Its description in RNAcentral is "SSU rRNA". It matches the Rfam family "Eukaryotic small subunit ribosomal RNA", at positions 35 to 353 of the family's 1831-position model. Lineage: Eukaryota; Bigyra; Opalinata; Blastocystidae. The record is from RNAcentral.